CCUAUACCCUAUAUCAGCUCACAUUAAAUCUCUAAACUUUAAUCUUUUAAUCAUCAAAUUUAGAUUAUAAACCAUAAAAUGAAAGUUAAUACUUUAAAUGAUUUAACUUAACACUUAUACUCAAACUCUAUAUCCCAAACUCAAAACCUAAAAUCAUAAUUAAGAUAACCCUUCAUCUUUAGUCUUUUAAAUUUAAAACAAUAAAAUAUUAUAAAAGCAAAAUAUAAUCAAUAAUCCAUAUAUACAAAGAUUUAAAACAUUUACAUAUAAUAUUAAACUUUAAAUGCAUUAAUCAAGCUUAAAUUUAUAAGAUAUAAUCUUAAAAUUUACAUUAAACAGAAAAUUAAGUAAAAACUAUAAACCUAGAAUAUGAGGGCACGGGAAAAUUGUACCAAUCUACCAAUUUUUUAAACCUAAGUCUUUAUCUCGCGCAGCUGGGUCUAAGAAAGAGGUCUCACCGCCUCUGCUCUCUCUGGAUCUCUAUCUCUCUAUCUGUCAUUCUCGUUGAAGAGCAGAGGCAUCAAGAGCAUCGUAGCCAAGCUCACCUCUCUCUGAUUCCAGAGCACUCUCCUUCUGAUUUAUUCUCCCCCAAUUUCUUUUAUAUCUCAAUCUCUCAAUCUGUGAACGGUUAAAGACAUUGUUUCAGAUCUCAUUCUCCCUUACUGUCGUCGGUUCCUACUCCUAAGUUUAGAGGAGAAGAAGAAGAAGAAGAAGAAGAAGAAGAAGAAGAAGAAGAAGAAGAAGAAGAAGAAGAAGAAGAAGAAGAAGGUUUUCUCCUGAUGUUUACUUGUUCACUACAGCAGUUAACGUGUGUUGCAAAGGAGGGAAAGUGGACGAGUGUAUUGAGAUGUUAUAGAAGAUGAAAGAAGCUGGUGUUGCGCCGAAUGUUGUUACUUACGAUUAUUGGGAUAUGUUAAGAUCCCAUAUACUAAGAUUGAGUCAUAUCUUCAUUAUGUAAACUUUCCUAUAAACUCGGGAUUGUAUUUGUAUAUAUACGAUGGCUUGUUAACGCCUAUGAAAUAAGAUAAACAGAUUGAUAAA
Long non-coding RNA from Brassica napus (rape), 1041 nucleotides. RefSeq lists it as uncharacterized. The record is from RefSeq and is a predicted model, not a curated record. Lineage: Eukaryota; Viridiplantae; Streptophyta; Magnoliopsida; Brassicales; Brassicaceae. The transcript has 3 exons.